UAAAGCACUUUCAGCGAGGAAGAACGCCUUGGGAUUAAUACUCUCGAGGAAAGACAUCACUCGCAGAAGAAGCACCGGCUAACUCCGUGCCAGCAGCCGCGGUAAUACGGAGGGUGCAAGCGUUAAUCGGAAUUACUGGGCGUAAAGCGCGCGUAGGUGGCUAAGUCAGCCAGGUGUGAAAGCCCCGGGCUCAACCUGGGAACGGCAUCUGGAACUGCUUGGCUAGAGUGCAGGAGAGGAAGGUAGAAUUCCCGGUGUAGCGGUGAAAUGCGUAGAGAUCGGGAGGAAUACCAGUGGCGAAGGCGGCCUUCUGGACUGACACUGACACUGAGGUGCGAAAGCGUGGGUAGCAAACAGGAUUAGAUACCCUGGUAGUCCACGCCGUAAACGAUGUCAACUAGCCGUUGGGUCCCUUGAGGACUUAGUGGCGCAGCUAACGCAAUAAGUUGACCGCCUGGGGAGUACGGCCGCAAGGUUAAAACUCAAAUGAAUUGACGGGGGCCCGCACAAGCGGUGGAGCAUGUGGUUUAAUUCGAUGCAACGCGAAGAACCUUACCUACCCUUGACAUCCAGAGGACUUUCCAGAGAUGGAUUGGUGCCUUCGGGAACUCUGAGACAGGUGCUGCAUGGCUGUCGUCAGCUCGUGUUGUGAAAUGUUGGGUUAAGUCCCGUAACGAGCGCAACCCCUAUCCUUAUUUGCCAGCGAGUAAUGUCGGGAACUCUAAGGAGACUGCC
This 735-nucleotide ribosomal RNA is filed under the name Cobetia sp. Its description in RNAcentral is "bacterial SSU rRNA". It matches the Rfam family "Bacterial small subunit ribosomal RNA", at positions 426 to 1153 of the family's 1533-position model. The record is from RNAcentral. Lineage: Bacteria; Pseudomonadati; Pseudomonadota; Gammaproteobacteria; Oceanospirillales; Halomonadaceae.